UUAGAUGGGGACACUCGAGGUGUCGCCCUGAACGGGGCGGAGAAUUGGGAAGCCGGUCAAAUCCCGGCGCUGCCCCCGCAACGGUGGUGGAGUGAAGCCACGGCGAAAGGCCACUGGACGUGAAUGUCCGGGAAGGCGCCGGGCGGGUCCUUGGCGGGACUGCUCCAGAGCCCGGAAACCAGCCUUGAGCACAUCGACCGU
This 201-nucleotide non-coding RNA is filed under the name Ensifer sp. The record is from RNAcentral. Lineage: Bacteria; Pseudomonadati; Pseudomonadota; Alphaproteobacteria; Hyphomicrobiales; Rhizobiaceae.